Cinara cedri is the source of this 1293-nucleotide non-coding RNA. The record is from the annotation of a GenBank genome assembly. NCBI's taxonomy places the organism in Eukaryota, Metazoa, Arthropoda, Insecta, Hemiptera, Aphididae.
ACUUGAUACUUAUUAAUGUUAAGAGGUAACCCAUUAAUAAUACUCUAUUCAUUAAGCUUUUCAAUACUAAACUGUAGAUUAAUAUAAUCAUUGUUUGAAUUUAUAACCGAAAAAUAUUUUAGCAUUAUCAGUGAAGAAAAGAACACAUUUAUAGGGGUGUUGAAGAUACUAGGUAAAUCAAUAAUAAAUAGAUUGAAUAAUAAAGGACCUAAAUGAGAUCCUUGUGGUACCCCAGAGUGAACUAUAGUAUCAGAAGAAACUACAGAAAGCAAUUUUACGAACGCAGAAUGAUUUAUUAAAUAUGAUUUAAUCCAAAAUAUUCCAGCUUUGACGAGCUUUGAUAAGAGUUGACGGUUAACUUUGUCAAAUGCUUUUUGAAAGUUUGUAUAAAUAUAAUCAAUUUGGCGCUCCUCAUUAAAAACAGAAAUUAUUUUAGAUUGGUAUAAAACUAGAUUAGUAAUUAUAAAUUUGAUUUGUAUAAAACCACGUUGAUUACUAUCUACUGGGACAUUAAGAGUGAUAGCCUUUUAGUAAUAACGGUUUUGAACAUUUUAGGAAUAGCUAAUAAUUUAGAUAUGGGUCUAUAAGUGGCAAACAUUUGAUUUAUCAACAGACUUAUAUAUUGGAGUUUUGAGGCAUGUCCAUAAAGUAAGAGUACUUAAUUUUUUAAAAGAAUUGUAUUUAAAAAAAAAUACAUGGUUUUAUUAAUAUGCAUAUAAGCUAUUUUCCCAUGUAGUCGUCUUCUUGUUCUAUGCAGGUACUGAGUCGUGGUACGAGCUUUUUGAUGCCCUCCUCAAAGAACUCUUUCUUCCAGUUCAGAAUAUCUUGUUUUAUUUUCUCGUUGUUUAAACAAUUUUUUCCACCCAUGUGUGUCUUCAGGAAGGUGAAAAGAUAAAAGUCUGAAGGUGCCAACAUCAUGUCAGGGGAAUUCGCAGAAUGUUCAAAAGGUCUUAACCGAAUUACAGCACAUACUUAAUACUUGGCGAGAUUUUAAAUAGACAAAUUUAAUAGAAAUGUUCACUAUAAAAUCAAUUUUUGUAGUAUUGAGUUUUGUCAGUGCUUAUUGUGGUCAAGAGAACUUCUACAACUGUUAAAUGUGGCGAACUUUGAAAAAAAAUGUCCACAGGCCUAGAGGGCAACAGUACUCUUACUUUCUGGUCAUGUCUCGUAUACAUAUGAAUUUUUCCAAAUUUCUGGAAAUUAUCCACUUUUAAAAGAUUUAUCAAAAAUGUAAAAUAAUGGUUUGACAAAUUCAUUUCUCCAGUGUUUCAAGAAAAUAGAUGACCUGAUUCA